GCUGAAGUGGCGAAACUGGCAGACGCACAGGACUUAAAAUCCUGCGGUACUAAAAUACCGUACCGGUUCGAGUCCGGUCUUCAGCACCA
RNAcentral lists this transfer RNA (89 nucleotides) under Candidatus Arthromitus sp. SFB-mouse-Japan. Its description in RNAcentral is "tRNA-Leu (TAA) (tRNA-Leu-TAA-1-1)". It matches the Rfam family "tRNA". From Rfam's summary of the family: Transfer RNA (tRNA) molecules are approximately 80 nucleotides in length. Their secondary structure includes four short double-helical elements and three loops (D, anti-codon, and T loops). Lineage: Bacteria; Bacillati; Bacillota; Clostridia; Eubacteriales; Clostridiaceae. The record is from RNAcentral. RNAcentral also lists the same sequence under 4 other names.